GUAGGCUGCAGUCCAUGGGGUUGCUAAGAGUCAGACACAACUGAGCGACUUCACUUUCACUUUUCACUUCCAUGCAUUGGAGAAGGAAAUGGUAACCCACUCCAGUGUUCUUGCCUGGAGAAUCCCAGGGAUGGGGGAGCCUGUUGGGCUGCCGUCUCUGGGGUCGCACAGAGUCAGACACGACUGAAGCGACUUAGCAGCAGCAGCAGCAAGAAAGCUUCAUUCAUAACCGUCAAUAAUGAAAGGGCAGAAGGAGGAACUGACAAGGACUAAGUACAGCACUGGAGGGCCCUGCUGUUCUAGGCUGUUGAUGGAGUUGGAUACCAAAACCCUACUCUCAUUUUGCUACCAAAAGGAAUUAUGUUGUGUCCUCACCUUUAAAUGCACUGUUCUGGAAGUUCUGCAGCAGGAAUGCCUUGGUUUAGAUGUUGACAGGAGCCCAGCGAUUUACUUCACAUCCAUUUGGGUACUUUUCGAGGCAGAUAGGUGCAGAGCCAAAAAACACCACCUAGGGACUUCCCUGGUGCUUCAGCGGUUGCUGAAGCUUAAGCUCGAAUAAUUUAGCCACCUGCUGUGAAGAGUGGACUCACUGGAAAAGACUCUGAGGCUAGGAAAGAUUGAGGGCAAAAGGAGAAGAGAGCGGCAAAGUGUGAGAUGGUUAGAUAGCAACACCAACUCAGUGGACAUGAACUUGAGCAAACUCCAGGGCACAGUGGAGGACAGAGAAGCCUGGUGUGCUGCAGUCCAUGGGUCGCAAAGAGUCGGACACGACUGAGCGACUAUAAACAACAACAACCAGUGGUUAAGACUCCGCCUUGCAAUGCAGAGGACUUUGGUUCAAUCCCUGGUCUGGGAACUAAGAUUCCACACGCUACAGAGUAACUAAACCAACACGCCACACUACUAAGCCCUGAAGCCACAGAGAGUCCAUGCACCACAGUGGAAGAUCCUGCAUGAUGCGACAAAGAGCCCGCGUGCCACAACGAAGACGGGAUGCAACUGAAUACUUUUUUUCUUUUUUUUCUUAAUUAAUUUCUUUUUUAACUGAAGGAUAAUUGUUUUACAGACUUUUGUUGUUUUCUGUCAAACAUCAAAAUGAAUCGGCCAUAGGCAUACAUAUGUCC
Long non-coding RNA from Bos taurus (domestic cattle), 1124 nucleotides. The record is from Ensembl. Lineage: Eukaryota; Metazoa; Chordata; Mammalia; Artiodactyla; Bovidae.